This is a long non-coding RNA of Astatotilapia calliptera (eastern happy), 1441 nucleotides long. Lineage: Eukaryota; Metazoa; Chordata; Actinopteri; Cichliformes; Cichlidae. The record is from Ensembl.
UGAUGUGUACAGCUGGCGAGCUGCAGCGGUUGUACUAAUGUACUGUUAGAGAAACCGUGUGAUUAUUGUAACGGUGGACAGCGCACGGCAAGGACCGGUUGGGGUGAGCCGGAGGCUGGCGCGUCAGCGGGACCUGCCAAGCUGGAGACAGAUGUGCGCAGGGGUCCUGCCACACCCGAGGGCAGCGUGCUGUCCGGUCCAGCCUCUCUUCCAACAGAGGCAGCACGCUGCGCAGUACUGCGCGCCGACCGCCUGCUCAGCUGCCUGUGAGCCCCGGCUCACUUCCAUGCCUGCUGCCCCGCGGCUGUUUGCCACAUGGAAGGCUACCUGGGGCGACGAUGAUCCGGGCCGAUUCCCUUGCCUGCUCGCGGAGGGGGCGAGUAGGUUAGAUUCGGCCUCAGGGGCGAAGGGGGUAUGUGGCGGAGUACGUUCUGCGAUGCGCUGCAGAUUGAUGGACUGUAGUUUGUCAGAGAUCAGCUGUGAUUGUCUGGCAGCAGCGCUGAAGUCCAACCCCUCCCAUCUGAGACAGCUGGACCUGUGGGGAAACAACCUGAAGGAUCCAGAUGUGAAGCAGCUGUGGGAUCUUUAGCAGAGUCCAGACUACAGACUGGAGACUCUGAGGUGGAGGUGAUGAUGGUAAACAGGACGGUGUGUGUGCUGAGGGAGGAGAAGCUGUGUCCUGAUGAUCCAGAGAGGUUGAAGCAGCAGCAGCUUGUGUGUAGAGAUGCUCUGACUGGGCCAUGUUACUGGGAGGUGGAGAGGAGAGCUUCAUCCAGCAGUGACUGACAGAGGAAUAAGCAGAAGUGCAGAUGACUGUCAGUGCUGCAGAGUGAACUGCUCUGAGAACAGCUCCACUAUCAGACACAAUGUAGAGUCCAGCAUCAUCCCUGUGUGUCCCUCUGGAUCUGACAGAGGAUCAUCAGUGUAUCUGGACUGCUCUGCUGCUGCUCUGUCCUUCUACAGUCUCUGCACAGUCUCUGUCUGACUCUGGCUUCAGAUCCUCCUGGAUCAAACUCACCUGGAAAGACUUUCAAACAUCACUCAAUAGAUUUGAAUACAGAAUAUAUUUGAUAUAUACUGUAGAUGUACUUUAGAGUUGCAGUUUGUCACUUGUAAAUACAGUCUGUGAGCAACUAUGAGCUGAAAGAUCUUUCUAGAAAUACAAAAUGUUUUCGCUCUUCUGUUGCUUUUUCAUAUAUUUCCACAACAUUAAUAUUGAUCCCACCUGUCUCACCUGUUUCAUGCUUUUAUACAUAAAACCGGACUCGUGUGAUUUGAGGCUGCUGUGGUUGCUGUGCUGCACGUCUUCAUUUAGAUAAUAGAGUUAUCUAGUGGUUCAGAGGGAGAACUGCAGGAGGUGGAGCUGUGUUUUAGCAUGGAAAACUUUUUAUCUUUUAGGCGCAGAUACAAAUAUGACAAGUAUCAGUGUAAGAUACAAAAG